CCCUACAGACCGCGAUAACCUCGGGAAACUGAGGCCAAUAGCGGAUACAGCUCUCAUGCUGGAGUGCCGAGAGCUGGAAACGUUCCGGCGCUGUAGGAUGUGGCUGCGGCCGAUUAGGUAGAUGGUGGGGUAACGGCCCACCAUGCCGAUAAUCGGUACAGGUUGUGAGAGCAAGAGCCUGGAGACGGUAUCUGAGACAAGAUACCGGGCCCUACGGGGCGCAGCAGGCGCGAAACCUUUACACUGCACGACAGUGCGAUAGGGGGACUCCGAGUGUGAGGGCAUAUAGCCCUCGCUUUUCUGUACCGUAAGGUGGUACAGGAAUAAGGACUGGGCAAGACCGGUGCCAGCCGCCGCGGUAAUACCGGCAGUCCAAGUGAUGGCCGAUAUUAUUGGGCCUAAAGCGUCCGUAGCCUGCUGUGUAAGUCCAUUGGGAAAUCGACCAGCUCAACUGGUCGACGUCCGGUGGAAACUACACAGCUUGGGGCCGAGAGACUCGACGGGUACGUCCGGGGUAGGAGUGAAAUCCUGUAAUCCUGGACGGACCACCAAUGGCGAAAGCACGUCGAGAGACCGGACCCGACGGUGAGGGACGAAAGCCAGGGUCUCGAACCGGAUUAGAUACCCGGGUAGUCCUGGCUGUAAACAAUGCUCGCUAGGUAUGUCACGCGCCAUGAGCACGUGAUGUGCCGUAGUGAAGACGAUAAGCGAGCCGCCUGGGGAGUACGUCCGCAAGGAUGAAACUUUAAGGAAUUGGCGGGGG
This 763-nucleotide ribosomal RNA is filed under the name uncultured archaeon. RNAcentral describes it as "bacterial SSU rRNA". It matches the Rfam family "Archaeal small subunit ribosomal RNA", at positions 112 to 874 of the family's 1478-position model. The record is from RNAcentral.